CACAUCCUUCAUGAGAUAGCUUCACCUCGAUAUGAACUCCUCGAUGCCGCCAUGUGCCAUCCGUUCCUCUUCACAACCUCCGCGCGGGUUUUGAGGCCCAAACUCGCGCGUGAAACCCACCACCGAUGGUUUUAAGGCCCAAACCACCAAAAUGUCCGUGAGUAGUGUACUCCAUAUGCGUCCCCCGUUACUCAAUGCGUGUCACCGUUGUCCUCGACCGGCCAGCCGCCAAGUCCUCCGGAGGCUUGCUUGACUCGCAUGUCCGUCAUCUUGACUUGGUCAACACGGUCACUCCCAUAUACACUUGCGCUUGUCGAUGUUCUAGAUGUCAUCCACCCAGCCUCCUGGUCUCUCGGUCCAAGCCUCACAUUCGCCCUUCACCGCUCUGAGUCCACCGACAUGGCACGUCUCUACUUGACCUUCUUCUCACCGUCGACCACCGCCUCCGAGCUCCACACCUGCACACCACAAGCUAAGAGACAUAUUGCACACGCAUCUCAUGCCAUGGUUAGGUAACAAACUCAACCUAGGUCGUGGAUCACGUAGAUAAUCAUUCAUCACAAAUCAAAUCACAAGGGCACAUAUCAACCUUAUAUUUGCAAAACAAUAGUCUUAAUUUGCAGGCAAAGUGCCCAUCUCUAUAAAUUAGGGAAAAUCACAAGAAAAAUAAAAAAGAAAACCUAAUGUCAA
RNAcentral lists this long non-coding RNA (690 nucleotides) under Sorghum bicolor (sorghum). RNAcentral's name for it is "long non-coding RNA (SBIC_LNC007764)". The record is from RNAcentral. Lineage: Eukaryota; Viridiplantae; Streptophyta; Magnoliopsida; Poales; Poaceae.